UGGCCACAGCAAGGUGAUUGAUAGAAAGAAAUUUUCAUUAGUAUUAUGAUUUGGACUUGAGCUAAUCAAAUUUUUUAUAUGAUGGAUGUUGGAGUUUGACGAGUUUUCAUAACCUUUAUCGUGUCGGAACUCAUGAUAGAGGAACUGAAUCACAUAGUAACUACACCUAAGAGUUUUAAUUAUUCUAUUCUAUUGGAUUG
RNAcentral lists this long non-coding RNA (200 nucleotides) under Elaeis guineensis (African oil palm). RNAcentral describes it as "long non-coding RNA (EGUI_LNC049330)". Lineage: Eukaryota; Viridiplantae; Streptophyta; Magnoliopsida; Arecales; Arecaceae. The record is from RNAcentral.